UACGAAGGGUGCAAACGUUGCUCGGAAUUAUUGGGCGUAAAGCGCACGUAGGCGGCUUUGCAAGUCCCAUGUGAAAGCCCACGGCUUAACCGUGGAAGUGCAUGGGAAACUGCAGAGCUUGAGUACUUAAGAGGAUCGCGGAAUUCCCGGUGUAGAGGUGAAAUUCGUAGAUAUCUGGAGGAACACCGGUGGCGAAGGCGACAUCCUGGACCGGUAUUGACGCUGAGGCGCGAAAGCCAGGGGAGCAAACGGG
RNAcentral lists this ribosomal RNA (253 nucleotides) under uncultured bacterium. RNAcentral describes it as "partial 16S ribosomal RNA". It matches the Rfam family "Bacterial small subunit ribosomal RNA", at positions 524 to 776 of the family's 1533-position model. The record is from RNAcentral.